UGGGGAAUAUUGGACAAUGGGCGCAAGCCUGAUCCAGCCAUGCCGCGUGAAGGAUGAAGUAUUUCGGUAUGUAAACUUCGAAAGAAUAGGAAGAAUAAAUGACGGUACUAUUUAUAAGGUCCGGCUAACUACGUGCCAGCAGCCGCGGUAAUACGUAGGGACCAAGCGUUGUUCGGAUUUACUGGGCGUAAAGGGCGCGUAGGCGGCAAUUCAAGUCAUCUGUGAAAUCUCCGGGCUUAACUCGGAACGGUCAGAUGAUACUGCUUUGCUAGAGUGCAGAAGGGGCAAUCGGAAUUCUUGGUGUAGCGGUGAAAUGCGUAGAUAUCAAGAGGAACACCUGAGGUGAAGACGGGUUGCUGGGCUGACACUGACGCUGAGGCGCGAAAGCCAGGGGAGCAAACGGGAUUAGAUACCCACGUAGUCCCUGAGCGGGCUGGCAAGGCGCAU
Molecule: ribosomal RNA, 447 nt
Filed under: uncultured bacterium
Lineage: Bacteria
Description: bacterial SSU rRNA
Rfam family: Bacterial small subunit ribosomal RNA
Source: RNAcentral